RNAcentral lists this ribosomal RNA (551 nucleotides) under uncultured eukaryote. Its description in RNAcentral is "SSU rRNA". It matches the Rfam family "Eukaryotic small subunit ribosomal RNA", at positions 20 to 575 of the family's 1831-position model. The record is from RNAcentral.
GUAGUCAUAUGCUUGUCUCAAAGAUUAAGCCAUGCAUGUCUAAGUAUAAGCAAUUAUACAGCGAAACUGCGAAUGGCUCAUUAAAUCAGUUAUCGUUUAUUUGAUAGUACCUUACUACUUGGAUAACCGUGGUAAUUCUAGAGCUAAUACAUGCUAAAAACCCCGACUCACGAAGGGGUGUAUUUAUUAGAUUAAAAGCCAAUGCCCUUCGGGGCUCACUGGUGAUUCAUAAUAACUUGUCGAAUCGCAUGGCCUUGCGCCGGCGAUGGUUCAUUCAAAUUUCUGCCCUAUCAACUUUCGACGGCUGGGUCUUGGCCAGCCAUGGUGCCAACGGGUAACGGAGGGUUAGGGCUCGACCCCGGAGAACGAGCCUGAGAAACGGCUAUUACAUCCAAGGAAGGCAGCAGGCGCGCAAAUUACCCAAUGCCGACUCGGUGAGGUAGUGACGAUAAAUACUGAUACAGGGCUCUUUUGGGUCUUGUAAUUGGAAUGAGUACAAUUUAAAUCCCUUAACGAGGAACAAUUGGAGGGCAAGUCUGGUGCCAGCAGCC